AAUCGGUGUCUGGGAGAGCACUGAUGAUCAGUGACCGGAGAAGGCACUGAUGACAGCACCGAUGACAGCUGAGUCCACAACACAGCCGCCUUCGCCGCAGCCGCACUUCGUCCUCGCCCCUCUCGCGGCGCACGGUCACGUCAUCCCCAUGGUCGAUCUCGCGGGCCUCCUCGCCGCGCAUGGCGCACGCGCCAGCCUCGUCACGACGCCGCUGAACGCCACGAGGCUGCGCGGCGUCGCUGACAAGGCCGCGCGCGAGAAGCUGCCCCUCGAGAUCGUGGAGCUCCCGUUCUCGCCGGCCGUGGCAGGCCUGCCGUCGGACUGCCAGAACGCCGACAAGCUCUCGGAGGACGCGCAGCUCACGCCCUUUCUCAUCGCCAUGCGCGCCCUCGACGCGCCCUUCGAGGCCUACGUGCGCGCUCUGGAGCGGCGCCCGAGCUGCAUCAUCUCCGACUGGUGCAACACGUGGGCCGCCGGAGUUGCCUGGAGGAUCGGCAUCCCGCGGCUCUUCUUCCACGGGCCGUCGUGCUUCUACUCGCUCUGCGACCUCAACGCCGUCGUGCAUGGUCUUCACGAGCAGAUCGUCGCCGACGACGAACAGGAGACGACCUACGUCGUGCCUAGAAUGCCGGUACGCGUGACGGUGACGAAGGGCACGGCUCCCGGCUUCUUUAACUUUCCGGGUUAUGAAGCGCUCCGUGACGAGGCCAUCGAGGCGAUGCUCGCCGCCGACGGCGUGGUGGUGAACACCUUCCUGGACCUCGAGGCUCAGUUCGUGGCGUGCUACGAGGCGGCACUCGGCAAGCCGGUGUGGACGCUUGGCCCGCUCUGCUUGCACAACCGGGACGACGAGGCCAUGGCUUCGUGUGGGACUGGGAGCACGGACCUGCGCGCGAUCACCGCGUGGCUCGACGAGCAGGUCACCGGCUCCGUCGUCUACGUCAGCUUCGGCAGCGUCCUGCGAAAGCUUCCGAAGCACCUGUUCGAGGUCGGCAAUGGCCUCGAGGACUCCGGCAAGCCGUUCCUCUGGGUGGUGAAGGAGUCGGAAUUAGUUUCGUCGAGGCCGGAGGUUCAGGAAUGGCUGGACGAGUUCAUGGCGCGAACCGCGACGCGCGGCCUCGUGGUGCGCGGGUGGGCGCCGCAGGUGACCAUCCUGUCGCACCGCGCCGUCGGUGGCUUCCUCACGCACUGCGGGUGGAACUCGCUGCUGGAGGCCAUCGCCCGUGGCGUGCCCGUGGCGACGUGGCCACACUUCGCCGACCAGUUCCUGAACGAGCGGCUCGCCGUGGACGUGCUCGGCGUCGGCGUGCCGAUCGGCGUGACGGCGCCGGUGAGCAUGUUGAACGAGGAGUACUUGACAGUUGAUCGGGGUGACGUCGCGCGGGUGGUGUCGGUGCUGAUGGACGGCGGCGGCGAGGAGGCCGAGGAGAGGAGGAGGAAGGCCAAGGAGUACGGUGAGCAAGCUCGAAGGGCCAUGGCGAAAGGAGGCUCCUCGUAUGAGAAUGUGAUGCGGCUCAUUGCGAGGUUCAUGCAAACUGGAGUGGAAGAACACUAGGUUUGUUUGUACUCCUUCCGUUCAUGAAUAACUGUCACCUGAUACUAUCUGUAACCAGAGUUUAAUUACUCAUAAUUUCGCAACAAGUUUAGAAAUAUUAAGAUUGUUCUAUGCUCUCUCCAUAGUUAAUGACAUGGUUAACUUUAUGCAGCUAAACUUUUAAAGCAACUUUGACCACCAAUAACUCUAGAAAACAAUGUCUAGCUAGUUUGAAAACAUAAAAAAAAUAUAAGGUUGAUUUUUCUUUAUAACUAUUUCUACAACCAGGAAGAAAGCCUGCGCAAAUGUGCGGGCACCUUAUUUCAUUUAAUGUUGUUUAAAUUUUUAUUAUGGAUAUUUAUGUGUGGAUAAUAUUUUUGAAAUAUUCUUUGACAUCAUUUUAAACAUGUUAUGGUUAACAACUGGUUUGGAUAGUGGUUAUGAUUUUAUUCUAAUUGCCUUACAAUAUAAAAUAAUAUUUUUAAGAAUAUUUGCAAGAUGGCGUGAAGUCGUGUUGCGGCAGCAUGUCUUAUUUGGCAACCUUGCCAAGGGUGGUCACUACAUAUAUUCACAAUUGAAGAAAAACCUUAGAGCUGCAAAGAAAGAGAGAAAAAUACUCGAUGGGGCUGAUCGACGGAGGGAGUAGAAAGAUUGGAAAGAUAGGACCCAACGCUGCCCGCCGCGGCGUCGACGGAGCAGCCCGAGGUCACCGAGCAGACGACCUCGACGUCCUACAGGUUCGGCAACACCGGCGGCGCCAUGACCAGUGCCGCGUCCGCUGCUGGCUCCUUCCUUCCACAUUCGCUGGGCGCAGAUCGAGUCUCCGACAACAUCGAGUCCCUGUUCCCCUCCUCGUCCACAGCCAGCGGCGCCGCCUCCGCCGGACGCGACGAGUACAGGGGAUCCCCGCCGGACCUUCUGUCGCGAUGACAAGCAACCAGCAGACGCAGUCACGCAGGAGCUAUGCCUCAAUCUGGUGAGCAAUUUUAGGACCGACGAAGUGACACUUCUCUGUGUUGGCUGCCUCUACAGGGGUUUGGAUAUUCUGCAAUAUAUGUAACUAGAAGUAUAUAUGCAAGUGAUGUAUAGUUCCUGUAGGUUCUUUUGUAAGUACUCUGGGAGUGAUUGAAUUAUGAUGAAAGUGAUAUAAAGGUCCUCUGUGCUUUUAUUAAGUACUCUGUAAGUGAUUUUCCAAAUGCAAUCAAAAGCUGCCUCAAAUAA
Oryza sativa Japonica Group (Japanese rice) is the source of this 2755-nucleotide non-coding RNA. NCBI's taxonomy places the organism in Eukaryota, Viridiplantae, Streptophyta, Magnoliopsida, Poales, Poaceae. The record is from RefSeq and is a predicted model, not a curated record.